UCAGACGAUGCGUCAUGCAUAUCAAUAAGCGGAGGAAAAGAAACUAACAAGGAUUCCCUUAGUAACGGCGAGUGAAGCGGGAAGAGCUCAAAUUUGAAAUCUUAAAGGGUUUCCCUUUACGAAUUGUAGUUUAAAGAAGUGUUUUCUGUUAGAGUUUCGGUAAAAGUUCUUUGGAAUAGGGACAUCAUAGAGGGUGAGAAUCCCGUAUUUGACCGUUAUUUCUAGCUUUGUGAUACACUUUCAAAGAGUCGGAUUGUUUGGGAAUGCAGUCCAAAAUGGGUGGUAAAUUUCAUCUAAAGCUAAAUAUUGGCGAGAGACCGAUAGCGAACAAGUACCGUGAGGGAAAGAUGAAAAGAACUUUGAAAAGAGAGUUAAACAGUACGUGAAAUCUGUCAAAAGGGAAGCGUUUGACACCAGUGUUGUUUUCUCGAAAAUCAAUUAAAAAAGGCAGGAUUUUGUGUUGUAUUGACUUUAUCAGCUUUCUGCACUCUUUUCUUGUCUUUUUUUAAUGCACUUUUCGUUUAACAAGUCAACAUCAAUUUCUUUUGUUGUAAAAGGGUCAUUGGAAGGUGGCUUUCUUUUCGGAGAAAGUGUUUAUAGCCUUUGUACCUCUGCAAUCGGAGAGAUUGAGGUCUGCAGCGUAGAUCCUUCGGGGUUAGAUACAUUUGUGCUAAGUUAUAGCCUUUCAUAGACAACUUGUUGACUAUGAUCAGUCAUGUAGCUUACUCGCUUAUGCUAUUUUACCUACGCUUAGGAUGUUGAUCUACAGAGCGAGAGU
RNAcentral lists this ribosomal RNA (778 nucleotides) under uncultured Neocallimastigales. Its description in RNAcentral is "partial large subunit ribosomal RNA". It matches the Rfam family "Eukaryotic large subunit ribosomal RNA", at positions 18 to 628 of the family's 3401-position model. Lineage: Eukaryota; Fungi; Neocallimastigomycota; Neocallimastigomycetes; Neocallimastigales. The record is from RNAcentral.